UGGAGCAGCUCAGUCGAUAGAGCAUGAGACUCUUAAUCUCAGGGUCGUGCAUUCAAGACUCACACUGGGAAAAA
Molecule: non-coding RNA, 74 nt
Organism: Podarcis lilfordi (Lilford's wall lizard)
Lineage: Eukaryota; Metazoa; Chordata; Lepidosauria; Squamata; Lacertidae
Source: the annotation of a GenBank genome assembly